RNAcentral lists this unclassified non-coding RNA (270 nucleotides) under uncultured fungus. RNAcentral describes it as "partial contains 18S rRNA, ITS1, 5.8S rRNA, ITS2 and 28S rRNA". Lineage: Eukaryota; Fungi. The record is from RNAcentral.
AAGGAUCAUUACCAAUCCAAAAACCUUAUAAAAACCCUUGUGAACUGACAAAUUGAGUUGUACCUUGGAUGUUUGAGUUAUAUAUGACUGUAUAUCUUGCAUAUAUAAAAUAUGUAACUCGACAUCCAAUUGUAAAACCCCUUUAAAAUCUUUAGUUGACAAACUACUUUAAAAAAAGCUUUGGAAGAAAUAUGUAUGUAACGUAUAUAUUUCGGAAAAAGUAAUAAUAAUAAUAAAAUACAACUUUUGGCGGUGGAUCUCUUGGCUCAU